RNAcentral lists this long non-coding RNA (12301 nucleotides) under Citrus sinensis (sweet orange). RNAcentral's name for it is "long non-coding RNA (CSIN_LNC003555)". Lineage: Eukaryota; Viridiplantae; Streptophyta; Magnoliopsida; Sapindales; Rutaceae. The record is from RNAcentral.
AGAGAGUUCAUUAUUUUUUGGCAUUGAGUGCAAAAAAAAGUUAAAUUAAUGUAAGGAUUGGUUGGUGAAUAGUCUUAACUGCAUUUAUGUUCUUAGUUGCUACUGCCUUAAUGAUGUCCCAAACUUUUGAACAUUUAGAAUACCUAGAUUUCCUUUAAGCCAUCAUUUGAUUAGUGGGAAACAGAAGAAUUAAAAAGUUCAAAGAUAUGACGAACCCUCGAAAGUUGGUUAAAUCAGUAGCCUCAACCACACCAAAUUGUUUCAUAUUGCUUAGUUUCUUUCAGUAGAAUUUCUUAUUUUCUUAGCUACAAAUAAUAAAGAUGUUAACUUUUCAAACAUUGCACCUCUCAGCAGCUAUAGAGAGUCUAGUGGUAAUUCUGGUUGUUAUAAAGAGUAGAAGAUGAAGAAAAUGAACUGACACUGCUUUGUAAAAUCAAUACUAUAUCUGUCAUUAGGUUAUCAUACGGAAUUGUUAAAGGUUUUGACUUUUGUUUUUUGGCAGGUUAUCUCUAAUGACAAGUUCAAGGCUGCCGAACACCGAGUGCUGGCUAAUUGUGCUGGACCUAGAUUGUCAGUGGCAUGCUUCUUCACAACACAUUUUGAGCCAUCCGAGAAGCUUUUCAGCCCCAUAGAGGAGUUGUUAUCAGAUGAUAGUCCUACUUUGUAUAGGGGCACCUCUGUAAAAGACUACAUUGACUUCUUUGGUUCAGCCGGACUUCCAGAUGACUCAUCACUCGCUCGUUUGAGGUUGUAAAGGUGGAAUUACCUAGGUGGUGUGUGCAUGCCGAUGCAAAUCUCUGCGAAAAUUCAGUAUUCAAAGAAAUUAUACGACAGUUGGAGGACAUAUUUAAAACACGAACGCUAAGGCAGCCUCUUCAUCUCUCUCUUCUCAGGAAAAUGGUCUGUCCUUCUACCAUUUUGACAUCGUCAAUGUAAUGUCUAUAUUUGGAUUUCCAUUAUUUAUAUGAAAUGAAAAGGACUGUUUGGAAUAAGUGCAAAUCUAUAAUUGUCACCCUUUAUAUACCUAUACUGUCAAGGAUGUUUUUGAAUGGGUUAACAAUUUCUUGAUAUUGAAUGCAGCAGAGUUGUUUGUGUUAACAAUUUCUUGAUAUUGAAUGCAACAAAGUUGUUUGUGUUAACCAUUUCUUGAUACUGAAUGCAACAGAGUUGUUUGUCAUUUGUGGGAUAAAUGGAUAUGCACUAAGACUGCCAUGAAAGCAGCGCUGUUGUCAGCUUAAGAAAAGCAGUGCCCUGAAGAAAGGAACUAACUGCAAAAAGAAAGAAACAACCUCUUGCAAAGUUUUUUUUUUUUUUUUUUUUUAAUAAUGGCCGAGAAAAGGAAUUGCAGCCCCCUAAAAAGCUGAAAUGGCUUGUGAUGAGUCACAUAUAGUGGGUACAAAUAGGAGAAACAAAUUCUUUGGAAACUUUCAAAAGAGUGAUGAACAUCUAGUAUUAAAAACCUGUCAGGGAUCUGAGCUGAUCUACUACUUCUAGUCAUUGACAGCAAACAGAAGGUGUUUCUGGUAUUUGCUAAUGUUUUGCAGUCAUAAUAUAUGAAAUUUUUUCUUGGCAUUAUUAAGUACAAAAUCUGCAAUUAUGUCAACUGAUUAACUAGAUCGGGAUAAUCUACUAGAAUCUUUGUUUUGUUUUUUAGAGAUUUGAUGACGGUUGAGUUUUAAAGGAAAUCUAAUUAUGAGUUGAUCAGAUGAAAAACAAAACUUGUUUCAAUCCUAAGCCUACAUUGCGGUGGAGUUAGAGGCAUAAUUCCUGGGACAAUUCUAGCCUUCUUCGAAUCCCAGCUACAGGUUUGGUUGCUCAACUUUUCAUGCUUUCUUUUACUCUUUAUAUGAGACCAAAGCUAAGAAUGUUGACUGAAACAUUUCAACUGACAAUUGAGUUCUAUAUAUAUUAAUAUAUAUUCCUGCUAUAAUAUUAGCUCAUAAUUUUCGUUGCACAGAAGCUUGAUGGUGAAGAUGCAGGGAUGUUGGCUACUUUGAAUUUCAUCUUGGGGACUAAUUUCAUCUGGAGGCCUUGGGACUGCUAUGCUUGCAACACCAAAUGAAAACGAUCGACCAAUUGUUACAGCAAAAGUAAUCAAUGAGUUUUAUUUUCAAGAAAGUCAGAAAAUUUUUCCUGAGGAACCUGAACAAGGCAACCAAUUUCUUCAAAUGUAGAUAGCUACCACGAGGAUGAAUAUUUUAUUUUUUAUCUUGGAAGAAUAAGCUUUGAAAAAGGAUGAAAAUUUCUUUAAGGGUAAGCAACUGACUUUUCUUUCUCGUCAACAGGCAUGAUGGCAUAAGUUUUGAAAAAGGAGGAAAAUUUCUUCAAGGGUAAGCAACUGACUUUGCUUGAGCUGGCAUGAUGCAAUAACAAAUGGGGUGAAAUCAAAGUGGGCAAAUUAUGGAAGGCCAGUUUAUCAAUCAGUUGAUGGUUUCAUACAAUGGGUAGAAAAAGAAGCAUUUUGUCUCUUUUUUUUUUCUUUUUUUUUUUUCCCCUCCUUUUUCAGUGGAGAACAGCUGCAUGAAUGGAAGGCAAAAGGAAAGAUAUAAUUUUAAUUUUUUAUAGGAUUAAUUUAUUUAUUAUCUUUAACCAUGUCUCCGUCUUAGAGCAUUUGAUCAAUUCUAUAUGUUUUAUGAUCGUGCAUGCAUGUUAUAAAAUAUAGCAUCGUGGUUUGGAUAUCAUCUUUUAAUAAUAAAAUGAAUUUUGACAUAUUUUUUAUAUAAUAAAAUAUUUUAAGUUUAGUGGUAAGAGUACUAUUUCAUAGUUUUGGAGGCUUGGUUUAAAUUCAAUAGUCACUUAAUUUUAUUUUUUAAAUAUUUUGUACAAAUUACUUAGAAAAAUAAGGAUAGUUUCAUAAAUGCGGCCACAAUUAGCUUCAUCAUUUAAAAUGAAUAAUUUACUACUAUUUAUUUUUUAAAAUUUAAAAGAAUAUAACAGAAUUUGACUUUUGAGACUUUAAAUGUGUUUAAGUGAACAGUAAAAACAAAAAAUUAAGCACUCCAAAUAAAAUUAAAACUUUUUGAAUUAAACCCCCUAAUUUAAGUGUUUGGGUAUGCCACUGGCCAACUUGUUUAUGUACUCAUCAUGCAAUGGCCACUGGUGCUCACUAUAUCAUCUUUAAAUUAAUUAUCUUUCAUAAUGCAUUUCAAAUACUUUUAUGAUGUGGUUUUAUUUGAAAAGCUAAUAACAAUAAUAUACAAAGCAUUAUUUAGAAAGCACUUUAAUUUAGGUCUAAUUUUUUCCUUAUGUUCUGGUGAUGUAAAUAAUAGGGAGAAUGUAUGUUUCAUCCCUAAAUAGAUAUCAUAUUUAACAAUUACAUCCCUAUUAAAUUUUUAAUUACCCAUUUCAUCCCUCAUGUUAAAAGAUAAUAGAAUUAAUUAUGAAACUAAGGGCAAAACAAUCAUCCAAGGGUUUGAUAUUUUAAAAUUUAAAUUAAAACAUAACACCAAUCAUUAGGAUUAGGAGAAAAUGAAAAAAGUAUGUGCUCUUUUGGUAAUUACAUAGGACUAAUUUUUCUCAUCUUCUAUUUAAUUUUGACACCACACUACUUAGAAAUGUCAUAAAAUCCUCUUAGGAGAGGUGGAAUAAUAAAUGAACAAAAAAUGGUUAAUUUUAUGUGUUUUUCUAAAUGAAAAGGAUAAAACUAAUAAUAAAAAAUCUAAUUAAAAUAUAAGUAAUAAAUAUAACAUCUAUCAAGAAUAAAAUAUACAUUCUUCCUUAAUAAUAUUGGAUAAUUUGAGUAAAUAUAAUAUUUACAUAUCAAAAUAAAAUAGUAGAAAGGGGUGUGGCGUUGGUGGUGUAGUGCCUGCUUAUAAUAUUUACAUAUAAAAUGUUUUGGAGAUUCAAACUGAAGCAUUUGAAAGUCUUUGGAAGGUCAAAGUUCGACCAAUAAACUAAUUUUGGUCAAAAAAGUUUCAGUGUACAUUGGUUAGGAAUGGCAAUUUUUGGGUUUGGGUCCGGGUUCGGGUUCGGGUUCGGCCUUUCCCGAUCCAAACCCAGACACACAAUUCUCUGUACCGGACCUGGAUUUGAACCUGAUUUUUUCAAUGCGGGUCUGGACCGGGUUCAACAGGGAAAAAUUUGGGUUCUGGGUUUUGAACUCGGAUUGCUUAAACUAAAUUUGUUAUGGAAAAAAUCAAAUACAAAUCAUAUGACAUAUCCAGGUUCUAAAACAAAUUCAAUACAAAUAUAGAAUCUGAAAUUCAAAGUUUCAAAGCAAUAAACAUCCACAAAUACAAAUCCAUAACAUAAAUCUACAAUUCAAAGUUCAACUUCAAACCACUAGUCUAAAGACUAAACUCUCAAUCAUCUACUUCAUUUGACUGUUGCUCACUCAUCAAACUUUCAUCAAUCAAAUGCUGCGCAAAAAGUAUUGCUUCCUCUAGAAUUCCAUCUAAAAGAAAUGCAUAAAUCAUAAACAUAAUGAACAAGACAACCAAUUAGUGGUAAAUUGAUAAUAAAAAUACUACAACAAAUUCAUUUGAUUAUAAUCAAUCAGAACUACUCUGCCGCCACCACCUCGUUUUUGUGAAGUGACAGGACUAGUAUUACCCCUACGACCACGGCCAGGACUAAUCCCUCAAACUGCUACUGAUGAAUUUAGUUCUAAUUCAACAGUUGUAUCAUCAUUAUUUUAUGCUUCUGUCCUUAACCUCACACACACACACUUUCGUCACUCUUUUCAAAGACAUCUAGAUUGAUUCUUUGUUCAUUUUCCAUCAUGAAUUUGUCACCACACAAAAAUUAUGUCAAAGACAUAAUUAAUUCCAUAAUUAACAACUAAUCUAGCAACUUCUUUCAAUUUAUAUGCUAUUUUUAACUGUAAAAACUAUACAUAUUUUGAAGAUACCAUUUCUAUUCUAUUAACAACAACAAUAAAAAAAUAAACUAUAAAUAAUAAAAUUGAAACAUAGCAGAGCAUAGAUAUUAAAAUCACAGAGUAUAGAUAUUAAAAUUGUAAAGAAAGUAUAAAUAAUAAAAUCAAAGCAUAACAGAGCUUAAAUUGCAAAGAGAAAAGCCAAGACUCACAAGUAUUCAAUAAGGCGGCUUAUGAAUAUGCUGAUGAACACAGAACACAACCGCAAUCAAGGUGGAUUUCACCCCGUUUUGCGGGUCGCGACAAGUAAGGCUGGUGAUGUUGAGAGACAAACACAGCCGCACCACGAAGGUGGUGACAGCCGAGGUGAUGAAGACAGUGAUUAAUCUGAUUUAAAGAAGAGAAUUAGAGGAGAACUAAAGAGAGAGAGUGAGAGACUAAGAGAGGAAAUGGCAUAUUUGGCAGUCGCGGCAGCAAGGAGUGUUACGCUAGUACUAGGGCUUCUUUUUUUAAUUUUUCUAUUUAUAUUAAAUAAAUUCUAAAAAAUUGAUAUUAAAAUAAAAAAUAUUCGGAUCUAGGUUCAGAAUUUGCGAGUUCACCUGAAUCUGGAUCCAGGUUCUGGAUUUGCAGGUUCACUUGAAUCCGAAUCUAGACUCGGAAAUAUAUGGGUUCUCAAAAUUUCAUUCAGAUUCUAGAUGAAAAUUGAUUUGGUGCGAGUUGAAUCUGAAUGAAAUUUUUUGGGGUUCAAUCCAAAUCUAGACUGAGUUCGGAUUUGAUUGUCAUCCCUAACAUUGGUGAUGUUAUAUAAAAGAAUUAAGUGGGGAGCAUUAAUUUUUGAAUUUUAAUGCUUUUGACCAACACUUUGUGUUCGCAAUCGAGAAGUAAAUGAAAGAAGCUUUAAUGCUUUGUGUUAUCAAGUAAUCAAAGAAAUAGUCUUGUUAUGUUUUGAGUAGUGAUGACACUCUAAUUUGUCACCAACAAAUAUGUUUGAUCAUUUUAAAGAAAAUAUUUUUCAAACAAAUUAUAAUUUUGAAUAUGAAUGCAAUCAUGAUAAAGCUUAUGCUUUCAUGUCAAAAUGGCUUUGAUUGAAAAGGUUAUAUCUUCAUAUACAUCUUUUCCAAGACCAAAUCUUAGGAGAUAUCAGUUAGAAAAUGUAUUAUGAUUACACAAAAUAUAUAAAUCAAACUAGGAAAUAGAACUGCGCUUCGUGCGGCUUUAAACAAAGAAUUUAAUAUUAUUAUUUUUUCUUACUUUACACUUGAUGAAACUGAUCAAAAAUAUGAAUUGAUUUUUUUUUUAAGAUGAGGCAACCUUAUAAAACUAAUGUUAUUUAUUAAAGUUAAUUAUUUUUUUGUUAACUUUAAAAAUAUAUAUUAAUGUGUAUAGUAUAAGUGUACAGACCUUAUACCUUUUGUAGUUGUUGAUAUGUUCCAAAUUAUAUUCAACUUGCUAAUCUAUUAUAACUUUUAUAUCUCUUUUUUUCCAACCAGCUCCAACGAUCUCAAUAUCACCCAUACCACAAAAACUUCCGAUAACAUCUGUAAUAUUAUGGAAAAAUAACAUAAACAUGUUAAAACAUAAGGAUCAAUAAUUUCUAAUAUUCACUUAAAGAUUAACAAACAUUAAUAAUUAAAAAAAUAUAUGAGAGGAUUGUGUUAUCAUUCACACGUGUAUUAAUCAAAUUCGCAGAUAUGAAUUGGAAUCCAUUGAUCGGAAUCUUAACAAUUCAUUCUUCUAACCUCUUAAGCGAAGUUAUAACCAAGAAAAUAAUCUUAUACUAAUUUGAAAGUGGUUUGUACUAUCCUAUAGUUGAAACAACUUUUAAAUUCUUGACACUGUACAAAGAACCCUCACUCAACAUAUGCCUAAACUUUGUCACUAAAUUUUUCCUGAUUGUUGCAGGCAUUAGAUUUUCCUACGAAAAAAAAUGCUACAUUAAGUGUAAAACAAUUGGGAAAAAAAUUAGAGAAAACAAUGGGAGAAAGAAUUUUUUAUACAACAUUUUCAUCAAUAAAAAUCAUGUUCACACUAAUAAAUUCUCCAUCCUUCUUGGUAUUAACAGACUCCCACAUCCUACAAAGCCUAACCCUUAUCAUCCAAUUAUCUUUAUCAUUGUUCAACUCAUGAAGAAAAUAGUACUCCAUGAAGCACACAAUACUAAAAAUUCAAAAUAAGUCAAAAAAUAAAAAUACAAGAAUAUUUCUAAAGAGGAUGUUGGUUAAAUAAUAUAAAAAAACUCAAACAUAACAAAUCUUAAAUACUUAAUGUUUAUAGAGUUUGAAUAAGCCAAAAUACACUAAACAAAAGGUUGUAUAAUUGAAUAUGAGAUUAUGACAUUAAAAUUAGGCUCUAGUGGCAUUGGUGAGGGAAGAUGAAAGAACCUUCUUUCCUAUAUUAAUUAGUUGAUGUAUUUUAAGCCACUAAAGUUUAGUUGUUGACUUAAUAAAAUAAAUGAAUAUUUCAAGACUUAUAAUUAAUUAUUAUUAAUGGUUACAUAUUGUUGAAUUUAAAUAGAAAGAGGAAGAGACAUGUAAUCUUUUGUAAUCUAAUAAUUAUUUUUUUAUUUAUUUUCUAUUUUUAAUAUUUUGUAAUGUAAUUAUUUUUUAAUCUCAACCAAUAAAUUAGAUAAUAGAGAAUAUAAAAAGAUGAGAAAUAAUGAUGCCACAAAUAUUAAAUACUUAAUGUUUAUAAAGUUUGAAGAAGCCAAAAGGUACUAAACAAAAGGUUGCAUAAUUAAAUAUGAGAUUAUGACAUUAAAAGUAGGCACUAAUAGUAUUAUUGAGGAAAGAUGAAGGAACCUUCUUUACUAUAUUAAUUAAUUGAUGUAUUUUAAGCCACUCAAAUUUAAUUAUUGGCAUAAUAAAAUAAAUGAAUGUUACAAGACUUAUAAUUAAGUAUUAUUAAUGGUUACAUAUUGUUAAAUUUAAAUAGAAAGAGAAAGAGAGACAUGUAAUAUUUUGUAAUCUAAUAAUUAUUUUCUAUUUUUAAUAUUUUGUAAUCUAAUUAUUUUUUAACCUCAACCAAUAUAUUAGAUAAUAAAGAAUACAAGAAGAUGAAAAAUAGUGAUAUCACAUCACCUCUUGUAGUCUCAACUUUAUAUAUAUAUAUAGAUAUGCUACAGCCUCUAAUGAGCAAAGAAUCCAUUGCAUCCCUUCUCUUCCGAAAUAACUCAAUUUUUUUUCAAACAAUAAAAAAAAAAAAAAAAUCUUUGGACCUUUCCUAAAAAAUAAAUAAUAAAAAGAAAGAAUAGAUUAUGUGUAUUUUCAUAAUAGGGAUGGAGCAGUGAUGAUAGAAAAACUUAGAUGAUCAAAUUCAAACUUUUACUUGGACUCAUUCGAACUUAUGCAAGGUUUAUUUUAUUUUAAUGCGGGCUAUUUCAACUUAAGAUUUUGACUAAAAUUUAGGCAUAAAAUAGAAAUAAUUUAUUUAGUUCAAUACAAGAUCUAUGAAAAUUACUUACAAGACAUCAAAAUCCUAUUAAAAAAGGACUGAAAUUCAAGUGCCAUAUUAAAGUGAGAGAAUAUCUUGAUAAUAGGUUUUAAUGGUUCAAAUCUAUUGGAUUUUGUCAAAUUCAAGUCUAAUCUAUCAUAUAUUAGAUUUUAUAUUUUGGAGUCAAUCCAAUCUAAUCUCUUAUUAAAAUCUAAUAUAAUUCAAACCAAUAAAAAGUUAAAUUCAAUUUAACCCAAUCCGGUCAAUUCAUUCAUCCGAUUAAAAUAAAAAUUUACAAAUAAAAGUCUUCAAUUGUGCUUCAUACUCCUAAUUACUAGCAAUUGAAAAGAAAAUUCAAAAUAUCAUCCCCUUUAAUAUUUCAUGAUUCAUAUAUUUUAUUAUCAUAUAGCCGGAAAAAAAAACUGAAUUUGAAUAUUGGAAGUAAACAUUAGUUGCAACUUGCAGUUUGUACUCUAUAUUAUUAUUAUAUAUUUAUAGUUAUACAAAAUAAGGUUUUAUCGUUUUUAGCAAGUUAAAUAUAGAGUAACAUGUAUUUUUUUAAAACAAAUAAAAAAAUAAAAAUUAAUUGGUUGGGUUUGUUUAUAGGGAAAUUGUCAAUCGUAUACCAUUAAUUUAUUUCGUUAUCAAAUUUACUAUAACACUUUUAGGGUAUAUCAGUCGUUUACUCUAAGUUGAUAAAAUAUAGUUGUCGUCCAUCAAAUCGUUUGUUGCCGUUUAAAUAUGAUAAUCUGGUCUUUUCAUAUGAUACAAGUGAUAAUUUAAGAAUAUAUAAGUGAUAAUAAAAUAUUUUAAAGAUAUACAAGUGAUAAUUUUUAAGUGUAAAAUUAUUAAUUCACUAUAGUUCCGUUAAUUUUUAAACUAUAACUAAUGAUUUAGUAAUCGACAGAUAACUUUUAUUAAUUUAUGGUGUAUGAUUGAUACACUAUUAAAAUAUUAUAAUAUUUUUUAUAAAAAUAUAAAUGUAAAGUAUACGAAUAAUAAUUUCUCAUGUUUACACGCACAAAUCUAUCAAUCAAUCCAAUGACAUUGAUUUUUUAUUUUACGGUCCAAUCCAAUCCAACCAAAAAGUCAAGGCAAAUGCUAAGUUACAAUAAUUGUAACAUACAUCUCUCAUGUGAACCACAUAAAUUAUGGGUCCUACAAUUUUAUGUGGUUCACAUUAGAAUGUAUGUUACAAUUAUUGUAACUUAGAGGCUCCCAAAAGUCAAUCCCAUAAAAACUAAAUUGGUUUAGAUCGUAUCUAUUGGUUUGAUUGGAGUUAAUUAGAUCUUGAGCACCCGUAGCGGUCGGUUUUCUGGUCGAGGGAGAACUCAGAGAUGCUCGAAAGGUAGACAAUGAAUCGAAAUUGUAAGCCCAAAAACAACUUUUUGUAAAUCUUAAUAUGCCCCUCAGCUCGUAGUUUUUUUUAAUCUUGUUUUCAUAUAAUUUUAGUGUUAUAUGAAUGAUCGUCUCGGCCCUACGAUUGAACUAAAUAAAUAACCAAACUUAUGUUUCGAUGCCUUCAGUAGAGGAUUCAAGGGGAAUAGUUGAAUUGUUAUCGAUAAUAUUCUUAAUCUCUUGAAGAACGUUUUAACAUGAGAAUUUUGUGCUUGACACUUUCUUUGAAUGGGUAAAUAUUUCAUUUGUCUGAAUCCAAAAGUUGCAUGCAACCUAGUUAUUCGGAAAGUACUUUGAAUUCUUUGUUUUCCUUUUGCCCACUUUCUGCAAGAAGCCCAAGCAUACCUGCAAAAUGGGGGAGCAACCGGGGAUAAUUGUCUUAUUUGGCUAAAUAGUCUGUAUAAGUCUUUUCUUAUCCUGAGGAAGUGUCACAGUUUCCAGUGAGUGCCUCGGGCGUUUUUGUCACUAGUUGUAGAAAAUGUUUAUCAUUUAGAAUUCAGGACAAGAUGAUUGUAGAAAAUAUAGAUAUUUUGGGUUUCUAAUGAGAGAAUUGUAUUAAUUCUGCAACAGGCCAUCCGCACCGAAAAGUAGCCUGCUUUAUCCCAUUUGUCUCUUUUUUGUUCCCCCCCUUUUUAGUGGAGAACCUCUGCAUAAAUUAAAGGCAAAAGGAAAGAUAUAAUUUUAAUUUUUUUAUAGGAUUAAUUUAUUUAUUAUCUUUAACCAAUGUCUCCAUCCUAGAGCAUUUGAACAAUUCUAUAUAUGAGUGUCUUCGCUCUUUGCUUUCAAUUCAUAGAGACAAUGACCUCCAGUCUGCAGCAAAUUAUGGCUUCAACAGGAAAUGGACUUGAUUAUGACAAAGAACAAGAGUUGAAGACCUUUGAUGAUACAAAAGCUGGAGUUAAAGGUCUGGUUGAUUCUGGUAUACAGUCAGUUCCCAAGUUCUUUGUUGCAUCAUCUGAGGAAACUUGCAAUGAGAAGUCAGAUCUAAGGCACACCCACUUCAAUGUUCCAAUUAUAGACCUCAGGGACAUUGAUAAAGAUGGUGCUCGGUGUGAAAUAGUCAAAGAAAUUGGCAUUGCGUCUAGCACAUGGGGAUUCUUCCAGGUUGUGAACCAUGACAUUCCUCAAGAUAUUACGGAUGAGGUUAUUGAAAGUAUACGAAGAUUCAAUGAGCAACCAAACCAUGUGAAAGAAAAAUUUUACUCCCGUGACAAGAUGAAGAAAGUGAGGUUCAAUAGUAAUUUUGAUUUAUAUAAGGCAAGAUUUGCUAAUUGGAGGGACACCUUGUCUUGUCUCAUGGCUCCUAAUCCUCCACCUCCUGAAGAAUAUCCGGAGGCGUGCAGGUAUGCAUUCCUCCACCUCCUGAAUAAUAUCCAGAGGCGUGCAGGUAUGCAUUCUGUUUUAUAAUUGUUAUGCUUAAUGAUGCACUUCAACAAUAUAUGUCUGUUCCUCUGCAGAGAGAUACUGUUGAAGUUUUCAAAAUAUGUUACAAAACUAGGUCAGGAUUUGUUCAAGUUACUUUCGGAGGCACUUGGCCUCAACUCUAAUCACCUAACGAACAUGGGUUGUGCUGAUGGACAUGUCUUUUACUGUCACUACUAUCCGGCUUGUCCUGAGCGAAACCUGACUCUUGGACAUACCAAACACCGUGAUCCAGAUUUUCUCACUAUCCUUCUGCAAAAUCAGAUUGGUGGUCUGCAAGUUCUUCAUGAUAAUCAUUGGGUUAAUAUUCCUCCGGUGGAAGGAGCUCUAGUAGUCAACGUUGGGGAACUCUUACAGGUGUGUAAAGUGCAGAGAGUUCAUUAUUUUUUGGCAUUGAGUGCAAAAAAAAGUUAAAUUAAUGUAAGGAUUGGUUGGUGAAUAGUCUUAACUGCAUUUAUGUUCUUAGUUGCUACUGCCUUAAUGAUGUCCCAAACUUUUGAACAUUUAGAAUACCUAGAUUUCCUUUAAGCCAUCAUUUGAUUGGUGGGAAACAGAAGAAUUAAAAAGUUCAAAGAUAUGACGAACCCUCGAAAGUUGGUUAAAUCAGUAGCCUCAACCACACCAAAUUGUUUCAUACUGCUUAGUUUCUUUCAGUAGAAUUUCUUAUUUUUCUUAGUUGAAAAUAAUAAAGAUGUUAACUUUUCAAACUUUGCACCUCUCAGCAGCUAUAGAGAGUCUAGUGGUAAUUCUGGUUGUUAAGAAGAGUAGAAGAUGAAGAAAAUGAACUGACACUGCUUUGUAAAAUCAAUACUAUAUCUGUCAUUAGGUUAUCAUACAGAAUUGUUAAAGGUUUUGACUUUUGUUUUUUGGCAGGUUAUCUCUAAUGACAAGUUCAAGGCUGCCGAACACCGAGUGCUGGCUAACUGUGCUGGACCUAGAUUAUCAGUGGCAUGCUUCUUCACAACACAUUUUGAGCCAUCCGAGAAGCUUUUUAGCCCCAUAGAGGAGUUGUUAUCAGAUGAUAGUCCUCCUUUGUAUAGGGGCACCACUGUAAAAGGCUACAUUGACUUCUUUGCUUCAGCCGGACUUCCAGCUUACUCAUCACUCACUCGUUUGAGGUUGUAAAGGUGGACUUACCUAGGUGGUGUGUGCAUGCCGAUGCAAAUCUCUGCAAAAAAUCAGUAUUUAAAGAAAUUAUACAACAGUUGGAGGACAAAUUUAAAACAUGAACGCUAA